This 305-nucleotide unclassified non-coding RNA is filed under the name uncultured fungus. Its description in RNAcentral is "partial contains small subunit ribosomal RNA, internal transcribed spacer 1, and 5.8S ribosomal RNA". The stretch from base 1 to 73 matches the Rfam family "Eukaryotic small subunit ribosomal RNA", at positions 1759 to 1831 of the family's 1831-position model. Lineage: Eukaryota; Fungi. The record is from RNAcentral.
GCAAACUUGGUCAUUUAGAGGAAGUAAAAGUCGUAACAAGGUUUCCGUAGGUGAACCUGCGGAAGGAUCAUUAACAAUUGUCCACACCAUGGAUAAUUAUAUAUCCAUAUCCAUCUUGUGUGCAUCAUUGAAGCUUUUGUUGGCAGGUUUUCAGGUUCUCUGAGCUUGAUUCGGUUGUAUAGCCAGGCCUGCCAAUUUUAUGUUUAAAACUUGUCUCAAUAUUGCUUGUCUGAAAUUGAUUUAUGAUAAUAAAUACAACUUUCAACAACGGAUCUCUUGGCUCUCGCAUCGAUGAAGAACGCAGC